UUCCUGCCCUUUUUUGUGUGUUUGUGUGUAAGAUAUGGUAACAUAAGCAGAAUAUUGAUACGUCAAUCAGAAAUUUAUAUUUGUUUAUCUGAAGGAGGGUAAUUCUGGGAGUGCUCACUUUCUUAUUUUGUGAGGUCAACUGGAAAUAUUAUGUUGCUUUCCUAUGGAGGGAAUGGAGAUUUUUCAAAGGAGACAUGAUUAGUUUGAUGUUGGGUUCAACCAUUCAAAGAAGGUGGAAGUAAUUGACCAGUCCAUUAUUGCAGGUGAGGACUUGGUCAAUGCUUCUUUUUUCCUUUUUUUUUUCUGCUUUCUGUGGGUGCGUAAAUCGGUAAAUAUGUCUUUUUCAUUGUGGUUGAUAUUUUUCCUCUUCUAUUGUCAGUCUUAUUUACAUAUGAGAAUUGCUACCUGAAACUUUGGGAUCAGAGGACUUUAGUUUGAAUUCAGUUGUGAUUGGUGACUAAUGAUGGUGAUGGAAGUUUGGAGUUGGUGCUAUUAUUAAAGCUUGAUCCAAUGGUUUUGGUUAGCCAGUACCAUUACAAAGCAUUUAGGAGCUGCUUUUUUCUUUUAAAAAAGAAAACUACAAUGUGUAUAUUAUAAGCUCAUUCCUAAUAGUGCUUUAGGAAUAAGGCAGGUUAGAUGUUGCCUAAACAUUUAUAUUUUAGAAUUUAAUAUUCCAAGUAUUCUAUUAACCUAAUUUGUUUUUAA
Molecule: non-coding RNA, 705 nt
Organism: Jatropha curcas
Lineage: Eukaryota; Viridiplantae; Streptophyta; Magnoliopsida; Malpighiales; Euphorbiaceae
Source: RefSeq, a predicted model, not a curated record